Non-coding RNA from Equus caballus (horse), 469 nucleotides. The record is from RefSeq and is a predicted model, not a curated record. NCBI's taxonomy places the organism in Eukaryota, Metazoa, Chordata, Mammalia, Perissodactyla, Equidae.
AACAGGUCCCUUUCUCCUAACUGAAAGUCCUCUCCUUCACUCUAGAGAGGAGGUCUGUUGAAUUCCACGUGAUGGGGAAGCCUUAUGAGUUGUAGAUCUUCGUUGUCCUGUUUCUUGAAUCCAGCUAAUAUAAAGGGCAAGACACCAGCAAAGUUUUCACCAAUACACUCUAUUAUAGGUGGUCUUACACAGGAGAAGUCAGAUUUUGGAGUUUUCAAGAAUCCAAUUUCUCCUUAUUUUGAUCUUAAAUGAUCCCAGUGUGCUAAAAAUACUCCAGAGAUUCUUAGAGUAUAUAGAUCCCUCUUCAAUAUUAAGAAAAUAAAGAGAAAAGUUUUUUGUCAUGAUGGAUUGGAAGGUAUGCAACCCAAUUACUGAAAAUCAAUUCUCCUUAAUCAGAAAACAGAGUUAAUUCCUGACACUGGCCUUGCCAUGAUGUGAUAUUUGUAGAGAAUUAAAAUAUCAUGAUAAC